UGGGGAAUUGUUCGCAAUGGGCGAAAGCCUGACCCAGCAACGCCGCGUGAAGGAUGAAGUCUCUCGGGAUGUAAACUUCGUAAGAAUAGGAAGAAUAAAUGACGGUACUAUUUGUAAGGUCCGGCUAACUACGUGCCAGCAGCCGCGGUAAUACGUAGGGACCAAGCGUUGUUCGGAUUUACUGGGCGUAAAGGGCGCGUAGGCGGCGUGGUAAGUCACUUGUGAAAUCUCCGAGCUUAACUCGGAACGGUCAAGUGAUACUGCUGUGCUAGAGUACAGAAGGGGCAAUCGGAAUUCUUGGUGUAGCGGUGAAAUGCGUAGAUAUCAAGAGGAACACCUGAGGUGAAGACGGGUUGCUGGGCUGAUACUGACGCUCAUGCACGAAAGCGUGGGGAGCAAACAGGAUUAGAUACCCAGGUAGUCCCUGAGCGGGCUGGCAAGGCGCAU
RNAcentral lists this ribosomal RNA (447 nucleotides) under uncultured bacterium. Its description in RNAcentral is "bacterial SSU rRNA". It matches the Rfam family "Bacterial small subunit ribosomal RNA", at positions 355 to 825 of the family's 1533-position model. The record is from RNAcentral.